CCAGUUGGCCGGGCAGCCGCCUUCCGCAAGCGCCGAAAGGCCGCGGGGGGAGGAAAGUCCGGGCUCCACGGAAACACGGUGCCGGAUAACGUCCGGCGGGGGCGACCCCAGGGAAAGUGCCACAGAGAGCAGACCGCCUUCGCAUGCGAGGGUAAGGGUGAAAGGGUGGGGUAAGAGCCCACCGCGGACAUGGCGACAUGGACGGCACGGCAAACCCCACCGGGAGCAAGACCGAAUAGGGAUGACGCGAGCGGCGCAAGCCGCUCAGCCCGUUUCCGGGCCGGUCAUCCGGGUGGGUUGCAAGAGGCCGGGCGCAAGUCCGGUCCCAGAUGAAUGGCUGCCACGUUCCGGCCUCGGCCGGAGCCAUACAGAACCCGGCUUACAGGCCAACUGGCGAU
Molecule: RNase P RNA, 398 nt
Filed under: Mycoplana rhizolycopersici
Lineage: Bacteria; Pseudomonadati; Pseudomonadota; Alphaproteobacteria; Hyphomicrobiales; Rhizobiaceae
Description: RNase P RNA component class A
Rfam family: Bacterial RNase P class A
About the family: Ribonuclease P (RNase P) is a ubiquitous endoribonuclease, found in archaea, bacteria and eukarya as well as chloroplasts and mitochondria. Its best characterised activity is the generation of mature 5'-ends of tRNAs by cleaving the 5'-leader elements of precursor-tRNAs. Cellular RNase Ps are ribonucleoproteins.
Source: RNAcentral